Molecule: ribosomal RNA, 492 nt
Filed under: uncultured bacterium
Lineage: Bacteria
Description: bacterial SSU rRNA
Rfam family: Bacterial small subunit ribosomal RNA
Source: RNAcentral
UGGGGAAUCUUGCACAAUGGGCGAAAGCCUGAUGCAGCAACGCCGCGUGCGGGAAGACAGCCCUAGGGUUGUAAACCGCUUUCAGCAGGGAAGAAACUGACGGUACCUGCAGAAGAAGAUGCGGCCAACUACGUGCCAGCAGCCGCGGUGACACGUAGGCAUCAAGCGUUAUCCGGAUUUAUUGGGCGUAAAGAGCUCGUAGGCGGUUCGGUAAGUCGGGUGUGAAAAUCCAAGGCUCAACCUUGGGACGCCACCCGAUACUGCUGUGACUCGAGUGCAGUAGGGGAGCAGGGAAUUCCUGGUGUAGCGGUGAAAUGCGCAGAUAUCAGGAGGAACACCAGUGGCGAAGGCGCUGCUCUGGGCUGUAACUGACGCUGAGGAGCGAAAGCAUGGGUAGCAAACAGGAUUAGAUACCCUGGUAGUCCAUGCCGUAAACGUUGGGCACUAGGUGUGGGUCUCAACCAACGAGAUCCGCGCCGUCGCUAACGCAUU